AGCGAACGCUGGCGGCAGGCCUAAUACAUGCAAGUCGAGCGGUCCCUUCGGGGGCAGCGGCGGACGGGUGAGUAACGCGUGGGAACGUGCCCUUUGGUACGGAACAACUGAGGGAAACUUCAGCUAAUACCGUAUGUGCCCUUCGGGGGAAAGAUUUAUCGCCAUUGGAGCGGCCCGCGUUGGAUUAGGUAGUUGGUGAGGUAAAGGCUCACCAAGCCUACGAUCCAUAGCUGGUCUGAGAGGAUGAUCAGCCACACUGGGACUGAGACACGGCCCAGACUCCUACGGGAGGCAGCAGUAGGGAAUCUUGCGCAAUGGGCGAAAGCCUGACGCAGCCAUGCCGCGUGAAUGAUGAAGGUCUUAGGAUUGUAAAAUUCUUUCACCGGGGACGAUAAUGACGGUACCCGGAGAAGAAGCCCCGGCUAACUUCGUGCCAGCAGCCGCGGUAAGCUCGUCUCUA
RNAcentral lists this ribosomal RNA (460 nucleotides) under uncultured bacterium. Its description in RNAcentral is "bacterial SSU rRNA". It matches the Rfam family "Bacterial small subunit ribosomal RNA", at positions 29 to 537 of the family's 1533-position model. The record is from RNAcentral.